Molecule: ribosomal RNA, 253 nt
Filed under: uncultured bacterium
Lineage: Bacteria
Description: partial 16S ribosomal RNA
Rfam family: Bacterial small subunit ribosomal RNA
Source: RNAcentral
GACGUAGGGCGCAAGCGUUGUCCGGAUUUAUUGGGCGUAAAGAGCUCGUAGGCGGCCUGUCGCGUCGACCGUGAAAACCCGCAGCUCAACUGCGGGCUUGCGGUCGAUACGGGCAGGCUGGAGUUCGGUAGGGGAGACUGGAAUUCCUGGUGUAGCGGUGAAAUGCGCAGAUAUCAGGAGGAACACCGAUGGCGAAGGCAGGUCUCUGGGCAUUAACUGACGCUGAGGAGCGAAAGCAUGGGGAGCGAACAGG